GGGUGGGCAGGCUGGAGUAGACAGGAACCACGAGAGGCAGGGAGGACUGUACAGGGGUUGCUGACCAGGUGGAAGAUGAUGGGAGCCUCAGAAGGUGUCGUGGGACAGGGUCAGGGAGAGGGCUCUAUGCGGCCAGGAUCUGGAUGCAGAUUGUUGAGACUGAAAUUUGGCUCAGAUCCCUUCUAGUUGUGUCUGUUUAUCUUCAGUUUCCUUGUCUAUAAAAUGGGGAGAGAUUGUGUGUCCCCGGCAUCACUGGACUGUUAAUAGCUAUUGCAUUUAUAGCAUUUAUCCCAGAACCUGAAACACAGUAAAUGCUCAGUAAGUGUUAUUAUUUGCCCCAAACUGUCUUAGUGCUUUCCCCAAGAGCUUUGUGUUGUUUGUACUAUGAGGAAUAAUGAGGGUGGUGUGGGAGUCGGCCUCUGUGUCUGCAGAGAGGACCACAGGCCACAGGAAUAGAGACAGGUAGAUAGGAUCAAGGUGACAGGAACAGAUGUUCAGAGCAAGAGAUGAAGACGGCAUCAUCAACCCAGACAAGCCAGUUGGAGGCAUCUGUCCACCCAUGUGGUUCCAGACACGUUCAUGUGGCCACCAUGACCCCGUCGGCAUCACAGGGGUAACCAAGAGAGCAGCAAGUUCCUGGGACAGAGGAGACAGAAGGGAAUUUCCAGGUUCUUCAGGACGUUCACAACCACACUGAGAAGCAUCUUUGCAGAUAAGUAUUUAAACUUACCAGCCCAUAGCCUACCAGCCUGCCCUCUUCUGGUCUGUGCAGGAAAGUGUAGUAUCCUAGAAUGCCAAAGUGGGAGGGGAAAUGGGUGAUGUAGCUCAUUCUCUUUUCUACCUCUAUGGAAGAAAGAAAGAGCCUGUCCCCAUUUUGUGGGGUCCCAGAAAGGGUGAUUUUCACACUUCACAUUUGGCGUUAGGGCUAGUAUUUCACAAACAUUACCGUCUGGAACUUUUGAAGGCUGAGUUAAAUGACUUCAUCUUGUGUACUUGUAGAACUGCUAUUAGAAGGAGGCUGGGGACUCCCUGAUGAUGUGAACCAGCCCUUCUCUUCUCAGUUUCAGCACUUUGUGAUCAUAUUUAUAAACCUUGGACAGGGCUCCUUGGCCUUAGAGUUAAGUGAAGAGUUAACACUGUGACUUUAGAUGCAUUUUUCUCAGUGUAAGUGUCUGAGCUCAUCUCCAGUUCUGGACUCGUGCCCCCACUCCCGGGUGCUGACAGCAAGCUCUGAAGAUAUGCUGAGAGAGCUCCCUGACUCUCCUGACUCAGGUCUGCCAGUUGAUGAAGACAGCACAGUUGUUACCAAAAACAAAA
RNAcentral lists this long non-coding RNA (1317 nucleotides) under Homo sapiens (human). Its description in RNAcentral is "myocardial infarction associated transcript". Lineage: Eukaryota; Metazoa; Chordata; Mammalia; Primates; Hominidae. The record is from RNAcentral.